Brassica rapa (field mustard) is the source of this 508-nucleotide long non-coding RNA. RefSeq lists it as uncharacterized. NCBI's taxonomy places the organism in Eukaryota, Viridiplantae, Streptophyta, Magnoliopsida, Brassicales, Brassicaceae. The record is from RefSeq and is a predicted model, not a curated record.
CAGAAAUAUUUCUUUCUUUCAGUUACUCUCUUGAUUCGCCUGACGUUAACAGUAGCUCAUCUUCCUCGUGUGUGUUCGUCCUUUUUUGGUAGGGGUGGACAAGGAUCGAAUAUCCCAGAUAGCAUGUCGGAAAGAAGCUGGAGCUUUCACAUGCUUUCUAGGCGAAACCGGAAGGUAUGGACCAGAUGAUUUUCCUGUCCCAGCACUGCACCCUCAUUUUAAAGUUGAUUCCCUUCCCUGUCCAAAAUUCAGAACAUAUUGGAGACAAACUUUAACCUCAACCCAUAGUUCCUCAUCUUGUAACCUCAGUGACAAAAAUAGUCUCUUACUCAACACUAGUUUGUAGCAAGGAUAGCUAUAAAUAUCAAAUUCAGAACAUAUUGGAGACAAACUUUAACCUCAACCCAUAGUUCCUCAUCUUGUAACCUCAGUGACAAAAAUAGUCUCCUACUCAACACUAGUUUGUCGCAGGAUAGCUAUAAUAAAUAUCAAAUUACUGAGUUGCACA